RNAcentral lists this ribosomal RNA (449 nucleotides) under uncultured delta proteobacterium. RNAcentral describes it as "bacterial SSU rRNA". It matches the Rfam family "Bacterial small subunit ribosomal RNA", at positions 71 to 524 of the family's 1533-position model. Lineage: Bacteria; Deltaproteobacteria. The record is from RNAcentral.
GAUCCACCCUCGGGUGGUGAAAGUGGCGCACGGGUGAGUAACGCGUGGGUAAUCUGCCCUUUGGUUGGGGAUAACAGUCCGAAAGGACUGCUAAUACCGAAUAAGUCAAUCAGCCCCGCGGGGAAGAUUGGGAAAGGCUUCGGCCGCCGAAGGAUGAGCCCGCGUACCAUUAGGUAGUUGGUGAGGUAAUGGCUCACCAAGCCAAAGAUGGUUAGCUGGUCUGAGAGGAUGAUCAGCCACACUGGGACUGAGACACGACCCAGACUCCUACGGGAGGCAGCAGUGGGGAAUAUUGCGCAAUGGAGGAAACUCUGACGCAGCAACGCCGCGUGUGUGAAGAAGGCCUUCGGGUUGUAAAGCACUGUUAAGAUAGAAAGAAUAAGCCUUCGGGCCCUGACGGUACUAUCUGAGGAAGCACCGGCUAACUCCGUGCCAGCAGCCGCGGUAAU